This 2007-nucleotide ribosomal RNA is filed under the name Listeria monocytogenes. RNAcentral's name for it is "partial 23S ribosomal RNA". It matches the Rfam family "Bacterial large subunit ribosomal RNA", at positions 370 to 2375 of the family's 2925-position model. Lineage: Bacteria; Bacillati; Bacillota; Bacilli; Caryophanales; Listeriaceae. The record is from RNAcentral.
GCCCGGUAGUUGAAAUGGCUUUCCCUCCAGAGUGGAUCCUGAGUACGGCGGAACACGUGAAAUUCCGUCGGAAUCCGGGAGGACCAUCUCCCAAGGCUAAAUACUCCCUAGUGACCGAUAGUGAACCAGUACCGUGAGGGAAAGGUGAAAAGCACCCCGGAAGGGGAGUGAAACAGUUCCUGAAACCGUGUGCCUACAAGUAGUUAGAGCCCGUUAAUGGGUGAUAGCGUGCCUUUUGUAGAAUGAACCGGCGAGUUACGAUUUGUUGCAAGGUUAAGCGGAAAAAGCGGAGCCGUAGCGAAAGCGAGUCUGAAUAGGGCGCAUAAGUAACAGGUCGUAGACCCGAAACCAGGUGAUCUACCCAUGUCCAGGAUGAAGGUAAGGUAAUACUUACUGGAGGUCCGAACCCACGCACGUUGAAAAGUGCGGGGAUGAGGUGUGGGUAGCGGAGAAAUUCCAAUCGAACUUGGAGAUAGCUGGUUCUCUCCGAAAUAGCUUUAGGGCUAGCCUCGAGGUAAAGAGUCAUGGAGGUAGAGCACUGUUUGGACUAGGGGCCCUUCUCGGGUUACCGAAUUCAGAUAAACUCCGAAUGCCAUGUACUUAUACUCGGGAGUCAGACUGCGAGUGAUAAGAUCCGUAGUCGAAAGGGAAACAGCCCAGACCACCAGUUAAGGUCCCCAAAUAUAUGUUAAGUGGAAAAGGAUGUGGGGUUGCUUAGACAACCAGGAUGUUGGCUUAGAAGCAGCCACCAUUGAAAGAGUGCGUAAUAGCUCACUGGUCGAGUGACCCCGCGCCGAAAAUGUACCGGGGCUAAACAUAUUACCGAAACUGUGGAUGAACCUCUUUAGAGGUUCGUGGUAGGAGAGCGUUCUAAGGGCGGUGAAGUCAGACCGGAAGGACUGGUGGAGCGCUUAGAAGUGAGAAUGCCGGUAUGAGUAGCGAAAGAAGGGUGAGAAUCCCUUCCACCGAAUAUCUAAGGUUUCCUGAGGAAGGCUCGUCCGCUCAGGGUUAGUCGGGACCUAAGCCGAGGCCGAUAGGCGUAGGCGAUGGACAACAGGUAGAGAUUCCUGUACCAGUGCUAAUUGUUUAACCGAUGGGGUGACACAGAAGGAUAGGGAAUCGCACGAAUGGAAAUGUGCGUCCAAGCAGUGAGUGUGAGAAGUAGGCAAAUCCGCUUCUCGCGAAGCAUGAGCUGUGAUGGGGAAGGAAAUUAAGUACGGAAGUUCCUGAUUUCACGCUGUCAAGAAAAGCCUCUAGGAAGAGUAGUACUGCCCGUACCGCAAACCGACACAGGUAGAUGAGGAGAGAAUCCUAAGGUGAGCGAGAGAACUCUCGUUAAGGAACUCGGCAAAAUGACCCCGUAACUUCGGGAGAAGGGGUGCUCUAUUAGGGUGCAAGCCCGAGAGAGCCGCAGUGAAUAGGCCCAGGCGACUGUUUAGCAAAAACACAGGUCUCUGCAAAACCGUAAGGUGACGUAUAGGGGCUGACGCCUGCCCGGUGCUGGAAGGUUAAGAGGAGUGCUUAGCUUCGGCGAAGGUACGAAUUGAAGCCCCAGUAAACGGCGGCCGUAACUAUAACGGUCCUAAGGUAGCGAAAUUCCUUGUCGGGUAAGUUCCGACCCGCACGAAAGGCGCAACGAUCUGGGCACUGUCUCAACGAGAGACUCGGUGAAAUUAUAGUACCUGUGAAGAUGCAGGUUACCCGCGACAGGACGGAAAGACCCCGUGGAGCUUUACUGCAACCUGAUAUGGAAUGUUUGUACCGCUUGUACAGGAUAGGUAGGAGCCGAAGAGACGUGUGCGCUAGCAUACGAGGAGGCAAUGGUGGGAUACUACCCUGGCUGUAUGACCAUUCUAACCCGCCACGCUUAGCGCGUGGGGAGACAGUGUCAGGUGGGCAGUUUGACUGGGGCGGUCGCCUCCUAAAGAGUAACGGAGGCGCCCAAAGGUUCCCUCAGAAUGGAUGGAAAUCAUUCGCAGAGUGUAAAGGCACAAGGGAGCUUGACUG